CUGACUGUAUCAAGGAGGAAUACCUGGAAUGGAGCUUCAUGAUAUACCUCCUUGACUUCUUCUGGUCUGUAUUAAGGUCCUGCCCAGCAAAUGGCAGCAACUCCAUAAACCUGUCAGUAUAUUCGUCUACACUCAUGUCAUCAGUUUACCUCAACUGCUCGAAUUCUAUCAUCUUCAAUUCUCUUGAACUAUCAGGGAAAGCCCACCCUGCAAAUUCAUUAGCAAACUCCUCCCAUGAUAGACUAUCCACCCUCGGUUUCACAUAGCUCUUGAACCACUCACGGGCCUUCUUGCAUUUUAGCGUGAACCCAGCCAUCUGAAUGGCUCUACUGUCAUCCGCCCCUAUCUCAUCUGUUAUCGUCUUGACCCUCUCAAGGUACACAAACGGGUCAUCACCGGUUUCAA
This 405-nucleotide long non-coding RNA is filed under the name Manihot esculenta (cassava). RNAcentral describes it as "long non-coding RNA (MESC_LNC010865)". Lineage: Eukaryota; Viridiplantae; Streptophyta; Magnoliopsida; Malpighiales; Euphorbiaceae. The record is from RNAcentral.